This 3631-nucleotide ribosomal RNA is filed under the name Pyrrhoderma noxium. RNAcentral describes it as "large subunit ribosomal RNA". It matches the Rfam family "Bacterial large subunit ribosomal RNA". The record is from RNAcentral. Lineage: Eukaryota; Fungi; Basidiomycota; Agaricomycetes; Hymenochaetales; Hymenochaetaceae.
AAUAUAGAAACUAACAUCAAAUAUUAUUUUAAAUAAUAAAGUAUUUUAAAGGAGUUAUUAAGGAUAAUUAGCAAAUUUAUAAAUAAGGAGGCAUAGUCCAAAUGCCGUAUGUGUAUUAAUACUUCGGUAUAAGCAUUGUAACCAAUUGCGAUGUUAUUAAAUUAAUUAUUUGGAAUUAAAAAAUUGCAAGAUUAAUAAAAUUACACAAGUAAAGAAACGGCGUUCCUAAGGGAAACCUUUAUAUUAAUUACUUCCUGAAGUAAAUCAUUUCAGUAAGGAAAGGAAAGGAAAUCAACCGAGACUCUGAGAGUAAUGGCGAGUGAAAUCAGACCAGCCUAAAACCAAAGAAUGAAAUCCAAAGAAGGUAAAAACCAUAGUCCUGUAGUUCAACCAAAAAAUCAAGUAUGAUGAGAGUAAACUUGUCAGAAUAAAGGGGAACCAUCCUCUAAGGCUAAGUAUUAUAAAUUUAGCGAUAGUGAAUAGUACUGUAAAGGAACCAAAUGAAAAAGAUUAUAUAAUUAAUGAUGAAAUAAACUUUGAAUUAGUAACUCUAUAAGCAGUUGAAGUUGUGAAAACAAUGACAGCGUACCUUUUGCAUAAUGGGUCAGCAAGUUAAUAGAAAUAGCAAGGUUAAAAGCCUUAGCGAAAGCGACUAAACCAAUUUAGUGUAGUACCUAUAUAAUUAAAAUUGUAUAAUUACAAUAUUUUUAUUCUAUAAAAAGAUAAGAAGAGUAUUACCUUAUUCCUUAAUAGUUAAUAUUAUUAAUAAGUUAAAAUUUGCUAAAUAUUGGUGUUGGGUAAGUUAUUUUUAUUAGACCCGAAGCUAAGAUGAUCUUGCCAAGACCAGAUUUUAAGGAUCGAACGGGUGAAUGUUGCAGAAUUCUCCGAUGAGUUUUGGUAAGCGGUGAAAUGCCAAUCUGAUCUAGUGCUAGCUGGUAUUCUUCGAAACAUAUGUAAGUAUGACAUCUAUUAAGAUUUAUGGAGGUACAGCACGAAAUUCCAAACAAUUAAAGUAACUCUUACUAUUAUGCGUUUAGGUUGUGGGGAUCUAAUAAAUCUUACCAAUGGAAUUUAAACUCGGAAGUACAUAAAUUGUUGUUAGAUAUUCAGACUAUUCAUGAUAAGUUGAGUAGUCAAGACGAAAACAGUCGAGAACACAUAUUAAGGUCCCGAAUGAUUAUUAAGUGAAAUUAAGGAUGUUAUAUAUUGUAUGCAGCUGAAAAGUGAGCUUGGAAGUGACUACUUUUUAUGAACGUUGUAACAACGCAUCAGCUCUUUAGAUUGUAGCACCGAAAAUUUAACGGGUCUAAAUAAUCAACCGAUAUUGUGUUGGUUAUAAAUAAAAAAAGUAAAAAUUAUCUAUUUAUAAUCUAGGUAGAAGAACAUUCAGAAACGUAAGAUACGCAGUGUUUCAUUGCGAUUGACGAACUGAAGAGAGAAUGCUGACAUGAGUAACGUAAAAAGAAGAUAUAAUACUUCUCGCCGAAUACGAAAGGGUUGUAAGUAAGGUUUAAACCAACUUAUGUGAAAUGCGGGUCUCUAAGGCACCAACCAAAGUGAAAGCUGAUGAGAAAGUGAAACAAAGCCUAACUGGAUAGAUAAGGCCAAGAAAAUAAUCUCACUUAAGUCCCUUCGGGUUCAGCUGUAAAGCAUAAAAUUUUAUUGCUAAUCAGCUAGCUUAAAUUCUUUAAUUUGUUUUUUUGUAAAUCUUUAUUAACUUAGAAGUUUUCAAAAGUAAAAUUUAAGUGAAGCUUAACUACCGUACCCUAAACCGACACAGGUUCGUAAGUAGAGAAUACUAAGGCGUAGAGCUAAAAGUUGUAAAGGAACUCGGCAAGAUGUCCUCAAAAGCUAGGCGAUAAGAGGAACCAAUAAACAUAGAAUCAAUUAUUCUACCAAGUAUAUUUGACUUAUAAUUCUCAGAAAUCAACUAAAGUAAAUAAAAUUUGUCCCUUCGGGGCCAGGUAAAAUGAAAUAGAAAAAAUUUAAAGAAAUAAGAUUUUCCAAAGUUCUAAUGUUAAUUUGGUGUCACAAAAUAGGAGAUCUCGACUGUUUCCUAAAAACACAAGAAUGUGCAAUGAUGAAAGUCAUAGUAUACGUUCUGAAAUUUGCUCGAUGCCAUUAAUAUAAAAAAGGUAAUAGGUAACUGUUACUGAUUGAAAGUCUGGUUAAUAGCGGUCUUAACUAUGAGGAUCCUAAGGUAGCGAAAUAAAUUGGCAAAUAAUUUUUGUCCGGUAUCAAUAAUGUAACGAAGGUCUCACUGUCUCUACAACUUGCUCAGUGAAAUUGAAUUACGAGUGCAGAUGCUCGUUGCCUCCAGUGGGACGGGAAGACCCUAUGCAGCUUCUACUGUAUUUAGUUAAUACAAUGAUCUAGAACAAUUUUUAACAAUAGUGAUUAGGGAUGUCGAAGGACGUUAUAUUUAUUUUAACAAAGAUAAGUAUAAGUGGAAACCUCCAGAUAAAAAUUGGGUCCUUGUUUACCUUUGUUGUUAAAGAACACGUUUAAAAAUUAAGAUGUUUUGGUCGUCUAAUAAACUGUGCUCCGCAUGGUUGUAAUCCUUUAGGGUUAUUCUAAACGUGUAACUAAAACUUAUUAGGGAUAAUUGACUAAUUGGCAGUUUGACUGGGGCGGUCGUCUUUAAUAAAGUAGCAAAGUACACCCACAGAAUUAAAACAAAUCUAAAUAUAUUUAAAAAUAUAUCAAACUAACGACGGAAAUCGUGAUGGUAUUAAAUGAUUGAUUUUCUUUACAUUAAAGUAUUAAUAUUAUUUAAUAAAGGAUUUCCUUAUUUUUAACAAUUAACCAUUAAACAUAAUUUAUGUAUAAAAAUAUUUAAUAAGGUAUAGCUAGAAAUUGAAUGGAGAUCAAUCAACUAGUGUAAAAGUUGUGUAUAGUGUAAUGGCGGUAAGCAUACCUAACUGUAAGACCUAAAAGUCGAACAGAUACGUAAGUAGGGCAUAGUGACCCCUCGCUAUAAUAUGGAAUAGACGGGGAUCAUUUGAUAAAAGUUACGCUAGGGAUAACAGGCUGAUAGCCGGCGAGAGUACACAUUGUCCCGGCUGUUUGGCACCUCGAUGUCGAUUCAUCCUAUCCUCCGGGUGAAGAAUCUUGGAAGGGUUGGGCUGUUCGCCCAUUAAAAGGGUACGUGAAUUGGGUUUAAUACGACGUGAGUCAGUAUGGUCCCUAUCUUCUGGAGGUAUAAUUAGUAAAAAGGGGCAGACCUUCUAGUACGAAAGGAUCAAUAGGCUGUGUUUCCAUAGUGUACCAAUUGUUGAAAUCAAUUAUAACUGCAAAGCAGUCUCUUUGAUGUGGUAACUAAGAUACAACUGAAACGUAUCAUUAUAAUAACAAAACUAUAAUAGUUACCUAAAAAUAUAAUAUAUUUAAAGUAUGUUAUAUAUAAAUUUUGGCACAGUUGGGUAGCCACAAACAUGGUAGAUAAGUGCUGAAAGUAUCUCAAGCAAGAAUCUACCCCCUAGAUACUAACGAUUAUAAAUUGAAAUAAAUUUAACUAAUCAAUAAGAUAAGAAAUAGAACAUUUCUUAGAUAGGAUGCAAAUGAAAGUACUGAGAAGUAUUUAGUUUAGCAUUACUAAUUGGUCACAAGACUUUAUGUUAAGAUAUUCACA